AGACCGGUUUAUUGGUCGUGCUUUUGUACGUACUGGUAUUAUUGGUUUCUCCUUUCUGACGAAUCUUAAUGCCAUUAAUUUGGUGUUUUGGGGAAUCAGGACUGUUACUUUGAAAAAAUUAGAGUGGUUUUUAAAAGCAGGCUCACGCUUGAAUACAUUAGCAUGGAAUAACGGAAUAGGACGUUUGAUUCUAUUUUGUUGGUUUCUAGGAUCGACGUAAUG
This 222-nucleotide ribosomal RNA is filed under the name uncultured Glomeromycotina. RNAcentral describes it as "partial 18S ribosomal RNA". The stretch from base 46 to 222 matches the Rfam family "Eukaryotic small subunit ribosomal RNA", at positions 693 to 867 of the family's 1831-position model. The record is from RNAcentral. Lineage: Eukaryota; Fungi; Glomeromycota.